UCUGAAUGGAGUGUACAUUUUUGAGGCUUCAAAAUGUGAAGUCCAAAUCAAUGCUGAUUUAUUAUGUAGGUUGGUUGAAUACUAUAAAGCCCAGAAGUUGCCAAAUGAUUGGAAUAGUCCGUGUCAUUUACAAAUAUGAAGUUGUUACAAGCAGGAAUCGUGUUAUUCAUAAUGUUUCUUCUGGUCUGUAAAAACAAAGGCCAUUCUGAUUGCUGCAUUAAUAAUGACGACUUGGACAUCUGUGGCCAAAAAGUGGCGAGGAAUUGUCCUCAUUUACAAAAUAAGGUUAUACGUUGUGAGCAAACUGUGGCACGUGAGAGAAGACGUGAGCAAAGAUUGAGAGAUGAAAUGAGCAACUGAAUUUGAUUUAAACAAAACAUCGCCAAAUAUAGAUCAAAACAGCUGUUCCUUUUAAAUUGAUGAAACAAAUGU
Molecule: long non-coding RNA, 432 nt
Organism: Mytilus californianus (California mussel)
Lineage: Eukaryota; Metazoa; Mollusca; Bivalvia; Mytilida; Mytilidae
Exons: 3
Source: RefSeq, a predicted model, not a curated record